RNAcentral lists this long non-coding RNA (16809 nucleotides) under Lynx pardinus (Iberian lynx). Lineage: Eukaryota; Metazoa; Chordata; Mammalia; Carnivora; Felidae. The record is from RNAcentral.
CUUUCCACAACCAUACCCAUUUCAAAUAGACAAAUGACUAUAUAGUUCUUUUGUUCUUUUUAAUUCAGAAAGAGAGAGAAAGGGAAGAAAAUAAAAAAACAUUUGUUUAAAUAACUAUUGCAGAAAAGGAGAUCUGGGCUGGAUGCUGGGACCUACCUCUUCCAGAAAGGGGAUUUAUUAACGUUUUAAACAAAACAAAACAAAAAGAAAAAGGAACAGAAAAGAAAUAAAUUAUUCUGCUCAAUACUGUUUGGCAUAAUCGCAUUUUUUUUUCAUCUUCUAAACACUCCAAACUGCCUCUUCAGGAAGCACUGAGCUGAGACUGGCAAGAAUGGCUGGUGCCUUGACUCUCUAAAAUGAUGGGGUAGGCCCUGAGAGAGGCAUUCCACUAAAGGCCCCCCAAAUCCACCCUCAUGCUCUACUCCUCCUACUUUUGGAAUUGGAAAAGAACAGACUCUAACUACGUUCUCAAUAUAUUAACUUUUAGGGGUGCCCACUGCCCUGCCCCAAUCCUCUUCUAAAAUACUCCCUGCUGGUCCCUGUUCCCCCAGCCAGCUGCAGGAACUACACCAAUGGCCAGGAGGCUGCUUGGUGGUAUCAACUCACUAAGAUAAAGGGUGGUAUUUGUGUUCCUCACUGUUGGGAAGGGGGAUCCUAUUAGUAGUUUGGAAACUUCACAGAAGCCCUUUCCCCCCUCCGAAUUUCCCCAACCUUGUAAGGUGAUAAUACCAUCAACAGCUUCCUGUCAGAGCUUUAGCUGGGUUCAGUCAUGCAGGUAAAUUCCAGUUGUAACCCGUUUGCUGGUUUCCCUGCCCUUCUAGAUUUGGAAAUGGAAAGUGGGUUAGAGCAAGGAGGCAGGAAGUGAGCAUGGGGGAGAGGGGACACAAGGGCAGGAGAGGAGGCAUGCAAGCGGGCAAGUCUACUCCUCCCCAGCUAGAAUCCCAGCUAUUUGCAUGGCCAACGUAGAGUUUUAAAAAAAUCUUUGUUGGUCAGCCAUCCCUGGUAACCUCAAGUUAAUUAAAUUACGAGACCAAAGCAAAUUCCACCCCCAAGCAAAGGUUUCCUACUCCUCUUUGGGGUGAUGGAUGAAGGAAGAAGGUGCAUGCACCAGGCAAGCUGGGUUCCCCAUCUCCAGCCUUCUUUCCCACGUGUUGCUCCCUCUCCCUAGAGCAGGCCAAACGCGCGCGAGUGUGUGCGCGCGCUCGAUUAUUCGCGCGAGAGGGCGGUAGGGGGGCGGGGGGAAGGGAGUGAAGAUGCAACAGUGCCCCCAACCCCCAGGGCAAGUUUUGAUUUUUUUUCAGGACAGGUAGGCUGGUGAGGAGGCCCAGGGCCUAAGAAGAGCCACUGAAAAGGUUUUGGGUGAACAGUAGGGGCCGAGAGUACACGAGAGUGAGAAGCACCUUACAUCUGAAGUGACUGGGCUUCCUUGUCCCCUGCCGUGUUCCUUACACCUGUGUUCCAGAGUUAGGCCCUAGGAGAAUUCCGCCCGUUAGCAACGGGUGAAUACAGUUCUAGUUUUCUGGUGAGAUGCUAAAUGCCCUGGUCAGAAAGGCCAGUCCAUAGGGUGGCCAAAGGUGGGGAUGGGGAGAAAGAGGAGGGGACCCACAAGCCACUGCAUUUCUUUGGUGGGUUUACACUCACCCAUCUGGGCCUGACAGAAAAAGGAAAUGUGGGGUCCAAAAUUCUCUUGAGCCUGAAGAGGUUUGAGAGGGCUCCAGCUUUUACCCUGGGAUGAAGGCGCGCUCCCCGGAAACCAUCUGAUCUCCCCUAGACCACCAUAUAGGAACGGCUAACGCCCCACCGCCCACCCGGAGGUCAAGAGGGACAUCCCCGCCCCCCACCAGCCCCGGCAAGGGAAGCCGAGCCGCCGCUGCCCCGCACCUUCCCCACCGUCUCCUUCUCGGCGCCCCUGACCGAGUGAGGUCGACGAGCGGCGAGCAAUGCUCCUACAGACACUGAGGAAAGUACCUCACUGAGGCCGGAACCAACCUCUGUUCCUUAAAAAGCGUGAGAUAAAAUUCUACCCAAAGCAUAGGGGAGAGGGGAUUCAGCGGCCGCCGGCCCGCCUCCGAAGGCCAUUGAUUGGAAGAGACGGGCCCAGUGCCGGCAGUUCUCCUUGAGUCGCAUGAUUGGCUGGGAGAAAAAAAAAAAAAAAUCCUCCGCUUCGACUGCAGCGCUGAUUGGUGCCUGGCCGGCUAGUCCCCAGUCUCAUGAUUGGCGAGGGACAGCCAGCGUUCGCUGGACUUGCAGCAUGAUUAGUCCAGACCGCGCCCUGACGUCGCUCCUAGGACCUGGAAACGCCCAAUGGGGCGCCGUGCCCACGCCGAGGCCACCGCCCUCCGGCUGGCCUGGAGUCCCGGCUAGGAGCCAGCGCCCUAGGUUCGCGCCUGGCCCGGAAGGGUCGCGGGUUCAAUUUCCUCGGUAGACCUCGAUCUUGCUGGCCUUGGCCAGCAUGUCGAUGAUAUGGGCCUCGAAGUCGGCGUCGUGCACCCCCGUCUUCCGGAACUCGCCCGCGUACCGGUUAUUCUCCCAGUAGUGGUGCCAGUUGCCCCGGCUGUCGGCCCCGAACCCGUACACGUUCACCUGCAGGGGAGGGCGGCGCAGGUCACCCCGCGUCGGAGAGCGGGAGGACAGGGCACGGGCACAGCCUCGGGUCGCGGUGGGCUAGGAGAAAGGGGCUGCAGCGACCCGACUACAGCUAAGAGACGCGCAGUUCGUCAAUUCGCAGAGCGCGGGAGGCAACGGGAAUACGCGACACCCAGGCCUGGAGCUAAGGAUACCGACUGGCAAGACUGCUGCUCCCUUUCGGUUCUUCCACCCGUCUGAUUGCAGCGAUACGCCUCGGUCUGGGGCUAUGGGACCUCUCCCACCGUUGCUAACGUUCCUUUUUUUUUGUUUUGUUUUGUUGUUGUUUUUGUUUUUUAAUGUAAUACUUUUAUAUGAAAGCUAGUCAAGCACCCAAUACCACACACUGAAUUUACUGGCAAAAGUGGGUGUGCUGGGCGUGAGCGAGUAUGGCACAGCAGCCCUGCUUGCUAGUGAAAUGCGCUCCUGGAACGAAUGACCUGCAGUGUUAACACACAGAGGGUAGGCCUAGGGCCCACAGCGGUGGGAGAAGACCAUCCCGCUGGAACUUAACUUCAUUAUUUCCGUUCUAUUUAUAUUUUUGAUGAUUUUUUUCUUUAUGACAAGUAACACCAAUUAUGGUAGUAAUGUUCUGUUUCCUUUUUAAAUAAAUUUAACUUUUCACUGAAGUGAUUUCAGGUUUGGUAAAAUCAUGAGUAGUAAGUUUGGGAAAUGAAGAUGUAUACUUUAUAGCCUAGAAAUGCAGGAAAUCAAAGCCACUUGGUUUCUGCCUACAAAAACACGUUCCUCUUGCUCUGCUAAGCCCUAAGAAGGGCUAAUCCCCUCUGUUCCAUGGGUAUCCCUAUUUUACCCAUAACACCGGGUUACCCACCUCAUCACACACAUGCAGGGCAAAGAAGAGCACCAGCAUCCCUGUAGAAGGGUACCGCCCGUGAUGCUCUGUCCACCGGUCGUGGAUAUACUUGAAGAAGGCUGGGUUGUAGAUCUGAACCUGGGAAGAGAAAAGGCAACAGACACAUGAGGGGUGUUGGGGGCCUGGAGACUCAGGCCAGGCUCUAAGUAGCUUCUGCCAGUUCCUCCAUGCUUGCCAGCAGACCUGUUCUUCCAAGUUCCCUAGUUUCUGUGGCCUCUGAGGGGGUCAGGCAUACCAGCAGAUGGGUGGACUCUGAAGGUUCUGGAAGGGCACUGGGGGACACCUGAGCCACAGGACUGGGCACACCAGUAGUCAAAUCUGCACCGUUUCUAAUGAGAUGGGGAUGAACAAGGGAGAGGUGGGAGCUUACCUUUUCUUUGUCCACUCGAAGGAAAGACUUCACUGGUGCAUAGGUGCUGCAAGCAGAAAGAAGAAGAUUUAGAUGGCUCUUGGGAUCUAGAAAGGUCCACAGAUGCCUUUCCUCCUUGUCAGGCCUGAGUGAUGACAGCCUUACAACAGAUCCCCUGCUUCCAGACUGCUUUCCCAGAGCACAUCACUGCAGUACCUUGCUCAGAAAACUUCAGCAGCUACCUAUGUUCUUUAGGAUAAAAUAAGGAUGUUUUAGACAAACAUUGGUGCCUUCUAUUAUCUAGCCCAAAUGUUUCUUUCCACAACACUCAGCUGUGAACUCCCCACUUAAUUUAGCCAGUCAUCUCACACCCACUAUAUUUGUCUUAGUUCUGCCUACAAUGACCCUCUUGCUACUAUCCUCAUAUUUGGUACAAAUCCCUCCUCUAUUAGCCAGCCAUGGCACCCGUAGUCUAUACUCCCUUUCUAAGCAAGGGACUUAAACUCAAACUUAAACUUUAUCAUAAGAUAAAGUCAGGAAACUGUAAUUUAGAUUUCUGUGUUUAAAAAAUACAUAGUGACAAAAUGCAGGCAAAUAGCAGGCAAUAUGUGGAAACGGCUUAACUGUCCACUGAUGGAUGAAUUGAUAAACCAAAUAUGGUAUAUCCAUAUAGUGGAAUACUACUCAGCCUUUAAAAGGAAUGAAAUCCUGUACAUGCUACAACACAGAUAAACCCUGAAAACACUACACUAAGUGAAAUAAGCCAGGACAAACACUAUGACUCCACUUACAUGAAGUACCUAUAAUAGUCAAAUCAUACAGACAAAAAGACUAGUGGUUAUCAGAGGCUAAGGGUCGGGGAAAUGGGGAAUUAUUAAUGAAUGCAAUUUCCACUUGAAAUUAUGAAAAAGUUCUGGAGUUGGAUAGGGUGGCGUUUUGCACAACAAAGCAAAUGUACUUAUUUAAAAAUUUUUUUACAUUUAUUUAUUUUUGAGAGACAGAGAGAGACAGCACAAGCAGGGGAGGGGCAGAAAGAAUGAGAUACAGAUUCCAAAGGAGGCUCCAGGUUCUGAGCUGUCAGCACAAAGCCCGACGCAGGGCUCAAAUCCAUGAACUGUGAGAUUAUGACCUGAGCCGAAGUUGGAUGCUCAACUGACUGAGUCACACAGGUGCCCUGAGUGUACUUAUAAUUUUGGUGGAGAAUGUGGGCAGUGAUCUGAGAAAAUGAGUUUGUAUUUAUUUAUUUGUUUUUAAGUAAUCUCUACACCCCAUGUGGGGCUUGAACUCACAACACUGAGAUCAAGAAUCACAUGCUCUAGCAACUGAGCCAGCCAGGCACCCCAUAUGUUGUAUACAUUUUAACACACAUACAUACACACACACACACAGUGAGACAGUAGAUUAGUGGUUGUUGCCUAGGGCUGGGGUGUGGGAGUAGAGGGAGUGAGGGUGAUGGCUAAGGGGUACAGAGGUAUCUUUAGAUCUUUAAAGAUCUUCAAGAAGAUGAAAGGAGUUCUAAAAUUAAUUGUGGUGAUAGUUACACAACACCAUAUUUAAUAAAAGCCACUGACUUGUAUACUUUAAAUGUGUAAACUGUAUGGCAUGUGACUUGUACCUCAAUAGAGAUGCUAAAAAAUACUUAGUGAUGGGGUGCCUGAGUGGCUCAGUCAGUUAAGCAUCCAACUUCAGCUCAGGUCAUGAUCUCACGGUUCAUGAGUUCAAGCCCCAUGUUGGGCUCUGUGCUGACAGCUUGGAGCCUGGAGCCUGCUUCGGAUUCUGUGUCUCCCUCUCUUUCUGCCCUUCUCCCACUCCCACUGUGUCUCUCAAAAAUAAAUAAACAUUAAAAAUAAAAAAAAACACUUGGUGAUGAAACUAAUGUAAUGUUGUAUGUCAACCACACUUCAAUAAAAUAAAAUAAAAAAUGACAUAUUAAAUUUCCUCAGGUUCCCAGCUGUGAUUGAGCAACUGUCUCUAAAGAAAAUUCUCAGAAUGCAGAACUCCCACAGUCAGGAGUCACCUCCUGGAAAGGAGACCAAAACCUUGCUACCCUUUCUACCUACAGGAAGCUGGCUGUCACUAUGUAGGAGUGACACUGAACAACCUGUGGCCCCAGCUAACGCACCACUUUGGGCUCUCCCUACUAUUGCCUCCCUCUUCACCAGCCCCUCUCGGUCAAAAUAUUCAGUUAAAAGAAUUCUAAGAGCCAAUCCUUGGGAAGACUCCUCUCAAAAUGCUCUGUCACCCACAUUCCACUCCCAGUCAACAGAGCGACUUACAAUCGGAUCUGCCCCGUGGACAAAGCGCUGGCAAUCCAGAGGAGGUCCAGGGCUUUGAAGGGCACCAACACAAAGCUGACAUUGGCGGGCAGGUUCUUGGCACUCUCGGGGUACAUGAAAUGAUGAGUGGUUCGGCUGCCAACAUCCUGUUCAAAGCCCACGGUUGGCGCCUGAUUCAUCCUGUAAGGACAAGAGGGUGACAUGAGAAUAAACCACCAUAGAAAGUGGUACAAAAUUUUUAUCUUUUUUUAAAGUUUCUUUCGGGGCGCCUGGGUGGCGCAGUCGGUUAAGCGUCCGACUUCAGUCAGGUCACGAUCUUGCGGUCCGGGAGUUCGAGCCCCGCGUCGGGCUCUGGGCUGAUGGCUCGGAGCCUGGAGCCUGCUUCCGAUUCUGUGUCUCCCUCUCUCUCUGCCCCUCCCCCGUUCAUGCUCUGUCUCUCUCUGUCCCAAAAAAUAAAUAAACGUUGAAAAAAAAAUUUAAAAAUAAAGUUUCUUUCUUUCUUUCUUUUUAUUUUAUUUUAUUUAUUUAUUUACUUAUUUAUUAUAUGAAAUUUAUUGUCAAAUCAGUUUCCGUACAUCUUUCUUUAUUUUUAAAUGUUUUUAUUUUCUUUUUUAGAGAGAGAGAGAGAGAAAGAGCGUGAGCACGGGAGGGGCAGACAGAGAUAGAAACAGACUCUGAAGCAGGCCAGGCUCUGAGCUGUCAGCAAAGGGCCCGAUGCGGGCCCUCAAACUCAGAACUGUGAGAUCAUGACCUAAGCUGAAGUAGGCUGCUUAACCGACUGAGCCACCCAGGUGCCCCAUUAACGUUUAUUUAUUUAUUUUGAGAGACAGAGAGCAAGAGAGAAAGAGAGCAGGGGAGGGGCAGAGAGAGAGAGAGAGAGAGGGAGAAAUCUCAAGCAAACUCUGCGAUGUCAGCACACAGCCCCAUGCGUGGCUUCCACGAACUGUGAGAUCAUGACCCAGGCCCAAACCAGAGUUAGAUGUUUAACCAACUGAGCCACCCAGGUGCCCCUGUACAAGAUUUUUACAGGACAAUCUGGUUCUAGCCAUCAAAAAUAUAAAUGGGUGUACACUUUGAUGCAGCAAUUCCAUUUCUUUUUUUUAAUUAUUUUUUUAAAUAUGUGUUUAUAUUUGAGAGAGAGAGGAGAGGGAGGGAGAAAGAGACAGUACAUGAGCAGGGGAUGGGCAGAGACAGAGACAGAGACAGACUCUGAAGCAGGCUCCAGGCUCUGAGCUGUCAGCACAGAGCCCGAUGUGGGGCUCAAACUCACAAGCCAUGAGAUCCUGACCUGAGCCAAAGUCAGAUGCUCAACCAACUGAGCCACCCAGGCGCCCCGUGGCAAUUCCAUUUCUAAGUAUCUAUCCUAUAAAAAUGGUUUCAUAAGUCUGCAAAGACAUGCGCACAAAGAUAUUCACUGCAUUAUUAUUUACAGUAGUGAAAAGGAGAAUCAAUUUAACAAUUAAGAACUGGUUGGGCCUCCUGGGUGGCUUGCUUGGUUAAGCGUCCAACUUUGGCUCAGGUCAUGAUCUCACGGCUCGUGAGUUCAAGCCCUGCGUCGGGCUCUGUGCUGACAGCUCAGAGCCUGGAGCCUGCUUCGGAUUCUGUGUCUCCCUCUCUCAGCCUCUCCCCUGCCCAUGCUCUGUCUGUCUCUCUCUCAAAAAUAAAUACACAUUAAAAAAGAGAACUGGUUAAUACAUUUUGGCACACUCAUAUAAUAGAACACCAUGUAGCCAUGAGAAUGAGUGAAAUAGAUUUACAUGUGCUGGUAAGAAAUAAGUCCAAGAGGUACUCAGUGAAAAAAACAAGUAAUGUGAGGUGUCUAUCCCAUUACCUUUUGAAUACUACUAUGUGCUGCAGGAGGGAAUUAAGACAAAAGGAAAACUUGAAACUAGAUAGUGUGAUAUCAUUUUUUUGUAAAAAAAGAAAAGGAGGCACAGGGAGCAAAAGGAAGAAGGAAGAAAGAAAAAACAUACUUUUAUAUAUGAAUAAAAAAAUCUGGAAGAGUAUUACAAUUGGUAACAAAGGUUACUCUUGGGAAAUGGGAUGGGGAAGGGUAAUUCAUCUUUUAGUAUAUAUAUUUUUUUCUUUUAAAAAUGUUUUAAUGUUUAUUUAUUUUUGAAAGACAGAGACAGAGAUAGAGAGCAAGGUAAGGGGAGAGAGAGAGGGAGACACAGAAUCUGAAGCAGGCCCCAGGCUCUGAGCUAUCAGCACAGAGCCUGACGUGGGGCUCAAACUCAUGAACUGUGAGAUCAUAACCUGAGCUGAAGUGGGACGCUUAACCGAAUGAGUCACCCAGGCACCCUCUAGUAUAUAUAUUUCUGUGUUUUUCCCCCAAUAACAACAUAUUUAUUACUCUUAACAAUUUUUUUUUAUGAAAGAAAAGAACAGCCUUCUACAGCCUCAACCUUACCUGGCUGUUCUGUCCUCUUUCCUAGAAGAUGGUGGAAGCAAGAUAAGAAGCUGAAGCAUUCCCUCAGCCCCUGAGCUGCAUGGCAGCCUCUACUCCACCAGCACCAGCCCCUCUGUCCCUGUACGUCAGCUUCUUAUCUGCCUUUCUGUUCCAAGGCCAGGAGGGAUGCUCCAAGUUCUGACAGUGCCCACCUUGGCUGUCUGCCGGUGAUGUGCAGUGUGGAUGUGUCUCUCCCAUGCUGCCAUGGAAGAAGUUGGAAACCCAGAGUGGGCUCACCGUCCUCCUAGGUAUAACAAGCCCAGGAGGCUUCUACUUCCUUUCAACUUGUGCAAAACAUAGGAUCAAUAAAAUCAAAGCUCCCUCUUUUGGUGAACAUCUUCAAAACAGGUGAUCCAGCUGUAAACACAAACCUGUUGGUCUUUUCUGCUAUGACCAUCUAUGAGAACAUUCCUGUCUUGUGUGGACCACUUUGCAGAAUCAUGACUGCCUAGAUAGAUGACCAUAACCUUGCCCUCCAAUGGGGAUAAAGGGACCUGGGAGAGAGGGAGCAAAGUCUCCAUGUGCUUUCCCAGCUUUUUACGCCUAUUCUGUAAAACCAGGAUGAAGGUUACCUGUACUUAAAGUGGCUGGCACCACUCAGCUGGGCUGAGUAAAGACCUCCUGUGUCACUGGGGCUCCCACAAUGCCUUCCUCCUGCCCACCUCCCCCUGAUGGCACGAUACAGUAGGAGCACAUCCAGGAGUCCCCACUGCUGCCAGUCAUAUUGCUGCAGCUCUCUCGUUCCCUUCCCUUGAGGAAUUGGAGGAUGUUUGGAGUUGGAAAGCCAUAAAGCCUGAGAACGGCCUGAUUUGGAACUAGAGCGUGAGUCUUUGUUCUUGGCCACUUCAGCUCUAGUCUGGCUCAAGCAGAAGCUAGAAUCUUUUCUGUAGGACCAGCUGUGCUCUAGCCUCCAUUUCUUUAGGUUAACUGCCCCUGUGCCUCCUGUCUGGGCACCCCUCCGUUUUCCUGGUCUUUAGGAUUCAGAGAUAUUACCUCUUAGAAGAGCCUAAAAGUAUACUUUCCCAUUUAUUAAUGACAGUUUUCUGGGGCUACUAGAGCUCUACACACAGCACUGGUGUCCUAUGGUCACCAGAGCCACAUCCAGAUCUGCCUUCUGUCACAUCAGCCCUGGGGUCUGUGAGGAACAGAUCAAUUGGGAUGGUGUUUCUCAGCUGCCUGGGAUAUGUAACGGGGUAUCAGGAAGUGGACGACGUGGGUUGGUGACACUCAAGUUGGCUGGGGCCUGGACUGGGCAGGAGCUGGGGUCAAGGUCACUCUGGCGUGUACCUAAGAAAUAACCUCCUCUCACUUGACAUGGAGAGGCCAAACUGGUCCCACAGAUCAAAGGGCUACAAGUGUCCCAGGUUGGCCUCUGAAGACAACCCCACUCCACCCCACCCCCAUCAUCUGUAGCCACAGUCUUGAGGAAGUCCCUUCUUAGACCUGGCAGGCGGUAUCAUUGCCUCCACCUCCCUCAGGUCCCUCUCACUUGCUGGGCAGGCACCAACUUUCUAAAAUCUGAGAACGAAUGGAGUAAGAGUUCUAAAAAAGAUGUUUCAGAGCCUCCAAGGUAGAAGGAAGGAACAUGGCAUGAUUUUGAGGGCAGGAUUUUGCUUUGAGGUUCUGAUUCAUUCUGGAGAAGCGAAGCCCUGGAAAGGGGCCAGACAGGACACAGGUUGAACUACAUCUCCAUGAUUCAGGGGAAAAGCAUUCUAGAAUUCUAUCUGUUUCUGGUUGCCUCUGCACCUGAGGGCAGAGGCAGGGGAAUGGUGGAUGUGCAUUCAUGCUUAGAGUUUGGUAUCUGGUCAUCUAGUCUCUUCCAUUCACUCAUGUAUUAAGGUGAGCCUACGACUGCCAGGUGCUUGUUCUAGGUCUGCUGGCUGGCUGAGGCAGGACCAGCUCAACUCCAUUUGAAGUUUUCAGCAGGGCUCAGAAGACAUAUAGGAGGAGGAGGCAGCCGGGGGGUGGGAUAGGGAAAUAUGGGUACAGCCAUCAUCUCACUGUAACUCAGCUUGGUGGGGUCUUAUGUUGGUCUUGCCUCCAGGGACCAGGGAGGCGUCCCCUGUGGUUCCAAACCAAGACAUGCCUAUAAGGAAAGAGUCACCUCCACUACCAUCAGACUGUACACAUCAGCAAAAAGCCAAUUCAAUCUGGGUCACCCCUUACACAAAGCAAUUCUGGGGUCCAUUCCAAAACGCACAUCUCCUAACCUGGUCUCUGUGAGUGAACAUCUGUGAAUUCCUUUCUGUAGCCUGGCCUGACCAGGUACCACUAAGGUGUCAUAGCGGCCAAGCCUUUUUGUCUGCUUCUACCCUGGAGCUUCCCAACCGCCACUGACACGCAUAAUGAAAGCAUCCACUUAGCACAGGGGGCAGGGCAGCAGAGGCAGGAGCUUCAGGCACUCAAGACCAUUUCCCUGGGCUUCCCGAGAGUCCCAGGGCUGCACUGAAGUGAUGGAUGCCUGCUUCCCCACUCUCGGCCACUGUCUCAGGGUAGAGAGAGCCCCUUCUCCAGCAACCAGCUUGCCUCCCUUACAUUCUGAGUGCCAGCAGUUGGAGGAUAGAGAGAAUCUCAGGUGGUUCUGGGUUCCUGGAUGGGGCCUAGCAGACCUCCUCUCCCCACCGCCCCCCCCCCUUCUCAACAUGAGAAAGGUUUUGCAAGGAAUGGUGAAAGCCUCAGAGACAUACUGCUGCCUGGGUGUUGCCAUGGAAACAGCAACAGUUUCUAAGACAAAGCCCUUCCUUCGCCUCCUGGGAAACCUGGUCUUUCUGCAAUGCUCAUCAUAAGAGAUGCUUAGUGAAAACUCGGCAUUUUCAGUAUAUUUACUCUCAAGUCUCUUUUUCCACCAAGGAGUGGGAUGGAAGGAUCCCCAGCAUGGCAUUUCCCAUCCCCAAGUCUAAGGAGAAAGUCAGAAAACAGGAUAAAAGUCAGGAACAGAAUGAGCAGUCCAUGUUGGAGUUUUAAGUCCACCAUGUAGUCCCUGUUCACCUCCAGGCUCAUAGCUCUGUGUCUUUGUCUGAAAUGAAUGCCUUUCCAACCCCUCUCCUUUCCUUAAGGCUGGGCAGAGAUGUCUGGUAAAUGAAUCUGCCCCACAUAAUCUAAACCUUAUCAAAUAAAGGUGAGGGACAGCAGCCCAGAGCAAGCACUGAGCAGUUCCUCUUCCUGCCCAGGACCUCCAUCUUCUGUGAGACUGCCAGGAGGAACCAUCUGUGGCUAUUAAUCAAGACAUUAGUGUGGGGCCUCACUCCUGGCUCAGCACUGAGGGGACCAGGCAGGUGGGAGUUCUCACCAGAAAACAACCAGUGGUCUACUCUCGGUUCUUUUCAGAGGAGUUCAGGACUCGAAACUGAGUGCAGGCCUCAAGCAAAGUACAGAAUGGGAAUUCUGCCUCCCCAUCUACCCAACAAAUAAGAGUGAGACACUCAAGCCUUUACAGAAGGUUCUGGUAUGGGAGGCUCACAGCAGCAGGCAACUCCUACACUGCCAGACAACUCUAUGGAGGCCAGUGCCUCCUUCUGGAGGCCUGUCCUGGGCCCACCCUUGCGCUCCCUGGGGCUCACCUCAUGAUGAAGUUGUGCCCAUCCACAUCCGGACCGUAGCCAGAGCCCCGCAGGUUGCCUGAGUUCCCCACCACGGCACAGCGCCGGCACUGGUGGGGGUCCCGGAAGCGGUAGGGGUUCUCGCCUGGCACUAUCUGGAACAGCUUCUCCAGUACCUCGUUGGUAUUGUGUGACUUGAACUGGGGCUGCAGCAUCUGUGGACAGGAGAGAAGAAGGAAGGAGAGGGGCGGGGGGGGGGGGGGGGGGGGCNGGGGCGGGUGAGCAGGGAGGGAUUCCUGCCUGUCUCGCCUCCCUGCCUUCACCCUCUAAUCUCAGUCAGGGAAAGGGAAUUCUCUCUCAACAGUGAGGACAUGCCCCCAUUCCCACACAGUAAAGUUCCUUUCUGAGGCUAGUGCCCUUCUCAUCAGGUGCACGCUCUAACGCACUGGAGGGGACUCGGGGGUCAAGGGGUACCGCAGAGCAGAGAAACUUCCUGGGCUCAUCAUGGCUGCAGAGGCCCCUGCUCUGCUGUCCUCUCAGGGAAGCUAUGAGUCACAGGAAGAGUCAUUUUGAGGUGCAGUUAAUGUGGAAAACCCUGCUGAGCUUCAAGGGCUCAUUCCCAACCCGCCUACAGAGGGCGCCUCUGGGACUGAGCCUGAGGACUCGGGGUUAGGAAAGCUCCAUCUUGACGCAAUAUCCACAGGGAUAACUGGAGUCACCCCCUGAGCCCUAGGGGAGAGGAGAAGAGCAGGCAGAGAGGUACAGGAAUUCUUUCAAAGUCAGAAUGGCUGGAAUGAAACUGGUUCCCUGUGCUUCCAACCACCAGUAACCGUGGAAGACCAUGAAAUGAAGCCGGGGCAGCCCUCAAAUGCCAACACGCCAGGCAAGUAACUGCGCAGGAGUAAAGUGGCAGAUGGGGACUAUGGCAAACAGGAGGCCCCAUCAAAAAGGAGUGAGCUGACUGCUGCUGUGUUGUAUCGUGAGCUCAAAAGCACCAAAUUUUCCAGUUUUUCAGGAGAAGCUGAAAAUAUGGAUUUCACGUGAAAUAUCCCAAUUCCUAAAUGUUAACUAAUGCAAAUAUUUUAAAGUUUUUUUUUUUUUAAUGUUUAUUAUUUUUUGAGAGAGAGAGAGAGAAACACACACACAGAGUCCAAGCAGGGGAGUGGCAGAGAGAGAGAGGAAGACACAGAAUGUGAAGCAGGCUCCAGGCUCCGAGCUGUCAGUACAGAGCCUGACACAGGGCUCGAAUUCACGAGCCGUGAGAUCAUGACCUAAGCUGGAGUUGGGCACUUAACCGAGUGAGCCACCCAGGCGUCCCACUAAUGCAAAUAUUUUAGAAUAUUUGAGUGGCUCAGUCGGUUAAGCAUCCGACUCUUGAUUUUGGCUCAGAUGAUGAUCUCACGGUUUUUGAGUUUGAGCUCUGCAUCGGGCUCUGCACUGACAGCGCGGAGCAUGCUUGUGAUUCUGUCUCCCUCUCUCUCUCUCUCAAAAAUAAAUAAAAAUAAACUAAAAGAAAAUAUUGAGCAGACUGGACUUGGGUCACAGACCACAAAUCAGUAGGGUAGAAACUAGGGCUUUAACACGCUCUGAGGUCUGAACCAUAAUAUGGGGAGUGUGGCUGAGCAGGAGCUGCUCAGGGGACAGAAUAAAUGAAGGGAAUGGAGUUGGCCUGCUUCUCUGCCUCUUCUCUUAGCACAGGAGCACAGGAAAGGCUCUUGAGAACAAGAAUACGAACUGAGUGUGGACAGGAAGCUAAGCUUGAGAUAAGAAUUUCUUUUUUUUUUUUUUUAAUUUUUUUUUUCAACGUUUAUUUAUUUUUGGGACAGAGAGAGACAGAGCAUGAACGGGGGAGGGGCAGAGAGAGAGGGAGACACAGAAUCGGAAACAGGCUCCAGGCUCUGAGCCAUCAGCCCAGAGCCUGACGUGGGGCUCAAACUCACGGACCGCGAGAUCGUGACCUGGCUGAAGUCGGACGCUUAACCGACUGCGCCACCCAGGCGCCCCGAGAUAAGAAUUUCUAAGUUCACAGCAAAAGGGAGUGACUAUGGGGAGCCCGAGAGAAACGGCUUCUGUGUCUUGGCUGAAGAACAUGCUUGGUGCUUAAACAGCCCUGAGUUCCAUCCCUAAGGGAAGGAAACCUGGCCUACCCAUGGGUCUACUUCUGCCCAGGAUCCUGCUCUGGUUCUAGGUGGCCACCACCUCAGGCAAGCUCUAUGCACUAUCUGAACCUUGAUUUUCCUCACAAAAUGAGGGCUGUGACUAUGAUUAACAGUGCUCCAGGCUGCCACAGGAAUGGCCCCUGGGGCUCCUGGUGAUCCUUGCUCUGUAGACCUCCCCAUUCUUAGGGACUUGGACAGUCUGAGCCAGGAAGCAGGAUCUGUGAGUUGUUCUGAUAAGCCUGAUCACAGGAGCUCCUCCUCACUGUCUCCCUGAAUGUGAGAAAGAGCGGGGAGUCAUCAUCUUCCCCAUUUUCCAGCUGGGGAAACCAGGAGCUGACUCCCCAGUGCCCCAGGGGGAAUGAAGGUGGCCUGAGGGCCCUUGGGCUAAGCACUGACACUGCUCCACCUGACACAGUAUGACAACCAGAUGGCCCAGGAAGAGCCUAGGGAGUGACAUUCCAGAGAUGACAAGGAUGAGGUAAAGGGAGUUAAAAGGAGCAGAAAGGUGACAGGAGCCAGAAAAGCAGGGAGUCUCGGGCACACCUGUCCUCUCAUCCCCUGCCCCUCACCUCCCUUAUCUCCCAAAGAAACUCACAAUGUUUUCUUAUCCUGGCCCAGAAGAAAGCCUCUUCCAGCAAUUGUAGAAAACUAAGUGAGUGGCCCUCACGGUGUUUAAAAUUCUUGUUAGCCAACAUUUACAAAUUAGGAUAUUUAGCAAAAAACUGUGGACUUCCAAGUUCUCUUAAGGGGUCAGAAGAUCCAGCAGUGAUGGGUCACAUCCCUGCAGAGCACAAGUUUGCUAUAGCUGAGAGGGGUUGCCUCCUUUAUAAAGGGCAGACAUUCUCCCCGCCAUGGCCCUUACCUCUCAGCAUCUUCCUCCUUGGGGCCUGUAACUCCUGUGUUAUCUCCCUGGCCUAGUAGGCAUUUCUGGUGUCUGCUCAGCCCCUAUAGGCACUACAAAGUGGUUCUCUCUCCUUCCAGGCCAAAGCUCACUCUGCCUUUCAGAAUCUGUGACCCUACCAGAUGGCUCUGGUCAAAUGGACCGAAUACUUUGUCAAGGCUCUGGGGGCCAGAAGGCAGAAUGCCCAAAUCCAAGAGGGGCUUGAAGAGUGACUCCCAAACCGGGGGACCAAGGGGGCAGCAAAGGGGAGGCAGGAGGGGUUGUAGCUCUCACCAUCCACCACCUCUGGACAUCUGGAGGCAGAUCCAUAUUCUCUCGGGUCCACACAGGGGAAAUGUUGCUGUUGAAGUGGCUAUCGAACCAGUCAGAGGCUCCAGUGUCACCCAUGCAGCGGCGGCAGGCACAGCUCUUGCCGGGGAGCCCCUCCUUGCUGAGGCGCUGCAGGCCAGCAUAGCCAGGCACCAGCUUCACCCGGUGGGUCCCACCCAGGGUCCCCGAGUCCAGGUAGGGCAAGGUGGCCAUGCUGUGGUGGGAGUAGGUGAAGAGCAGUGACAUGAUGAACACCAGCAGGAAGGCCACAGAGAGGAACCACACCCGUAGGGAGCACUUCAUGGUUUGGCGCCCCGGGGGGCCAGACCACCAGCCUGGUGGGCAGUGGGGUGUCACCGUGGCCACUCCUUUCCCAGCCCACUGAUGGGCCAGCCACAGCGUAGCCUGCCUCUUCUGGCACCACGUGCAAAGGGCAUAGGGGCACGUGCUGAGGAGGGGACAGAGGCAGGGGUCCCUCACCACACCCUCCCUCUACGCAAGGAGAAAGCACGUAGGCAGGAGUGGCUCCCCUGUCCCUGGGCCACUCGGGCCCCUGCUUAUGGCUUCAUCAGGUCUCUCUGUCACUAGCUGGGCCACAGAGGCUCUGAUUCUCCCACUGCCCUGGUGAGGGGCAGGUCAGUCCAUCCCAGCCCUCUAGUCCCUUGGGGUUGCUGGCUGCCAGCUCCGGGGGCCCCCCUCUUUGGUGGCUCGAAACGGUCCAGUCUGGAGCAUUCGGAGUCCUUGUGGUUCAUGAGCAGACACGGAGGCGGCCCCUCGUCCCCUGCAGUGGGGAAGCCUUUGAACCUCAAUCACAGCAGAGAGCACAUGAGCUUCAAGUGGUCUGGAUUCCAUCCAAGAGUUGUCCCCGCCUCAGCUGGCCCUCCUGGGCCAAACCCUUCACCAGGGGAGGGAACGAUGCCCCAGUCUUGAGAGAAGAAACCCAGGAAGCUCUGUGGGUGUCAGAAAACUCGCCUGCAGAGACCAAGAUCCUCCUUGCAUUAGGUUCUGCCCUUCCGCUUCCCAUUCAAGGCGCUGCUCCCUUCUCCCAAUGGUCACAGCCCCAACUGUGGUCGAAGAGGGGCUCACAGAGCUCCUGCUCCUGCUGAGAGGUCCUCCAGGGCCUGGGGACAGCUGCUGCUCAGUGGGGAUCUACUGUGAAUGCCGUCUGGGUCAGCUGAGCGUGUGCCGAGCUCCCUGCCAGGGCCCAGGCCUCCUUGGUGCUGCUGGCCCAGCCUCACAGGCUGCUCUGCCCAUCCCCACUCCCCUGAGGCCUGCUGUCCUGCUGUUAGCUCUCGCUAGCAGUAAUCCCCUGGCAGGUUCCCCCUCGC